AGCGUAGUCGAUGGGAAACAGGUUAAUAUUCCUGUACUUCUGGUUACUGCGAUGGAGGGACGGAGAAGGCUAGGCCAGCUUGGCGUUGGUUGUCCAAGUUUAAGGUGGUAGGCUGAAAUCUUAGGUAAAUCCGGGGUUUCAAGGCCGAGAGCUGAUGACGAGUCGUCUUUUAGAUGACGAAGUGGUUGAUGCCAUGCUUCCAAGAAAAGCUUCUAAGCUUCAGGUAACCAGGAACCGUACCCCAAACCGACACAGGUGGUCGGGUAGAGAAUACCAAGGCGCUUGAGAGAACUCGGGUGAAGGAACUAGGCAAAAUGGCACCGUAACUUCGGGAGAAGGUGCGCCGGCUAGGGUGAAGGAUUUACUCCGUAAGCUCUGGCUGGUCGAAGAUACCAGGCCGCUGCGACUGUUUAUUAAAAACACAGCACUCUGCAAACACGAAAGUGGACGUAUAGGGUGUGACGCCUCCCCGGUGCCGGAAGGUUAAUUGAUGGGGUUAGCGCAAGCGAAGCUCUUGAUCGAAGCCCCGGUAAACGGCGGCCGUAACUAUAACGGUCCUAAGGUAGCGAAAUUCCUUGUCGGGUAAGUUCCGACCUGCACGAAUGGCGUAACGAUGGCGGCGCUGUCUCCACCCGAGACUCAGUGAAAUUGAAAUCGCUGUGAAGAUGCAGUGUAUCCGCGGCUAGACGGAAAGACCCCGUGAACCUUUACUGUAGCUUUGCACUGGACUUUGAGCCUGCUUGUGUAGGAUAGGUGGGAGGCUUUGAAGCGUGGACGCCAGUUCGCGUGGAGCCAUCCUUGAAAUACCACCCUGGCAUGCUUGAGGUUCUAACUCUGGUCCGUAAUCCGGAUCGAGGACAGUGUAUGGUGGGCAGUUUGACUGGGGCGGUCUCCUCCUAAAGAGUAACGGAGGAGUACGAAGGUGCGCUCAGACCGGUCGGAAAUCGGUCGCAGAGUAUAAAGGCAAAAGCGCGCUUGACUGCGAGACAGACACGUCGAGCAGGUACGAAAGUAGGUCUUAGUGAUCCGGUGGUUCUGUAUGGAAGGGCCAUCGCUCAACGGAUAAAAGGUACUCCGGGGAUAACAGGCUGAUACCGCCCAAGAGUUCAUAUCGACGGCGGUGUUUGGCACCUCGAUGUCGGCUCAUCACAUCCUGGGGCUGAAGCCGGUCCCAAGGGUAUGGCUGUUCGCCAUUUAAAGUGGUACGCGAGCUGGGUUUAGAACGUCGUGAGACAGUUCGGUCCCUAUCUGCCGUGGACGUUUGAGAUUUGAGAGGGGCUGCUCCUAGUACGAGAGGACCGGAGUGGACGAACCUCUGGUGUUCCGGUUGUCACGCCAGUGGCAUUGCCGGGUAGCUAUGUUCGGAAAAGAUAACCGCUGAAAGCAUCUAAGCGGGAAACUUGCCUCAAGAUGAGAUCUCACUGGGAACUUGAUUCCCCUGAAGGGCCGUCGAAGACUACGACGUUGAUAGGCUGGGUGUGUAAGCGUUGUGAGGCGUUGAGCUAACCAGUACUAAUUGCCC
Molecule: ribosomal RNA, 1522 nt
Filed under: metagenome
Description: bacterial LSU rRNA
Rfam family: Bacterial large subunit ribosomal RNA
Source: RNAcentral